UCCUACUAAGAUGGAAUUCAAAUAAUGCAUCGUUCAAACAUCCCUGCUUGUUUUUCAAACUCUUUAUUUGUCCAUAUUGUUAUUUUCUCUUACAUGUGCUACUUCAAAACAAAUACCAAUCUGCUGAUGACAGUCCCUUGCUGAAAAUGCUUCAGUGGCUCUCCAUGGCCCUUAAAGUCAAGUACAAAGUCUACAAGCGGAAAAGUGAUCUGCAAAGCCCUUCAGGAUCUGACCCCAGGUCACUUGUCUAGUCAAGGGAUGGCUAUUUUUUGUUGUUUUGCUUUUCAGUUCCUCAAAUAUUCAAAGCUUUCUUUUGCCUCUGAGCAUUUGUUCCUACUGUUCCUUCUGCUUCUGUAUCUCUUCAUCUUGGUCCGAUUAGCCCUUACUCAUAUCCUUCCAGUUUCAGUCUAAAUGUCACUCGUUCCAGAAACCACUACUGACCCCCCCAAGUCUAUGUCAUGCACCCUUUCUUCUUGGCAUCUGACACUUCUUGGCAUCUGACACUUGGCGAAACUUCCCUGUUUUGCAGCUUUUACCCACUUUGCCAUAGCUGCCUGUUUACUUGUGGUACCACUGGAUUUAGGACAGAAGAAAUUGGGAGUUCCUCAAUAAGAGAGCUAUAGUUUGCUUGGUCCUGUGACCUUGUUUCCUAGGCAGAGGCUUAGGAACUAAAGAAAAAAAUGCAAACAGGAAGAAGAAACUUUGCAGAUACAUUUGUAAAUGAUUGUUCAAGGAUGGAGUACACUCCUUCCCGUGCCUUGGUCCUCCAUUACCCCAGCCCCUGUCAAUUUAGACAAACCUCCAGAAAGAAGGAACUUGGCUGACAUUGACCAAGAUUAAAUUUCAGUUCCCAGGCAAAGUGAGGUCUUAAAAUAGAAACUAAUCUAUAUGGGGCAUGGUGGCUCAUGCCUGUAAUCCCAGCACUUUCGGAGGUCAAGGAGGGAGGAUCACUUGAGACCACGAGUUUGAGACCAGUCUGAGGAACAUAAUGAGACCCUGUCAUCAGUAUUUUUAUUGGUUUGUUUCUUUUUUGGUUAUGCAUACUGAAAGUAAAUCAACAUAUUAAAAAGCAAGAGAAAGAGAUCAGAAAAGGAACGACAUUUGUUAGUGGUUUCUGAUUUAUGAGUCUGAAGGACCUGUCACAUUGAGCCUCGGCAUGAUAUUAAUUAGCUGCAUGGCUGAAACGCCUUGUCAGUGUCGCACAUUAAAGACGCACCUUGCAGCCGGGAAGGAGAGACUCUGAAGAGAGGGGAGGGGCGGCUGCAAAUACAAACCACGCUGAUCACUUUUGCCUGCAUCUCCACACUGCUAACAAAAGGCAACUCACCGAGGCACACUUUCCGAUUCUUGGUUUGUAAAAGCUGGUGAGAAUAUCAAUGAAGCCCCACCUAAUUUUUGCCUAUUAAUAAUUCAGCUCCAGAAAGUGAAAAAUAUGAAAAACACAACCAGUUUUUCAGUCAAUAAGAAAGGCCUUUUUUUUUUUUUUAAUUUGGAGUCCUAUGCAAGUGGCCUUGUCAUGGCAGGGCCUUGACCAGCUCACAGCCGGUGUUCCAUUUACAGUAACAGGGCGUGGCAGGUUGCGCAAUAGGGCUGAACGGCGCAGUGCUCAGAGGAAGCCCCGACUGUCACGUUGUGCACGGAGUCUUGCAGUCUCUACAGGGGCCAAGAGCUGAGUCCAUUUUCAGCCCCUCCACUUCUUCAGUGACAUAGUCAUCCUCUCCGUUAAGGGACACUGGUGGAAACACGUGCUAAAGCUAAAGAAGCUAAACAAAUGCUGGGUGUUUUCAGGAAGGCUACUGAAAACAUAGCAGAGAAGCCAGCUUACUCUUGAUCCAAACCUCACUAGGCAUGUUUGGUGCCAUUCUGGGUGCCACAUCUUAGGAAGAAGGCACAGAGCUGGGCAAGAAUUCUUUCAGGUGGAUCUCAUGUGGGCCACAGAUUGGUCUAUUAAUUACAGUUGUAACCACCCAACUUCCCCAUGUUCCAGUCCCCAGUUGUCCACUGAACCCAAUCCUGUCUCCCACCUUGUCACAGGAAAUUUGUUUUGCAACAGAAAACAUAAGAAAUUUUCCCUGCUUGGAAGAUACUCAUACAUACCAGAAACAAGUCAACAUUUUGAUUUCAAACAUCAAAAAAGGUGUCCAGAAAUCUCAAGAAUUUGAGACAUCCUAAGGAACUUUAAGUGCUGUGAGCCACAAGUAACAUCAAGAAAAGACAGGGAUGAAGAACCGCACUUACAAGCUAAGUAAGAUUAAACCCAGCAUGGAGAUAUAUGAAUUAAUAUGAACUCUGAGAAAGAAAUUGGUCAGCUAAAAAAUAUAUGGCUUUCCUGAAUAGACAAAAGAACAAAGAUUUUCCCUUUGAAUAGAAUGAGGCAAACCCACAAGUUAAAGUGUUUUUAAAGUGGCUCAAUAAUCACUUUGAAAACAGAUUCGGCAGGAAGCUUGCACCGAGUGAAGGAUUUAUAAAGAUUAUAGGAGAUAACACAAAGCUAUUUUAUCUCUUUAAAAAAAAUCAAAGGUGUAAGCUCAUCCUACACAUGUCAUUUGGACCAGACCAAGGCUGCUGUCAUGGAGGACCCACACCACAGCUUGGGAACCAUUCAUCUACCAGAGGGUCACAUGACUUCAAAUGACUCUUCUAGGGGCCACCUGCCAUGAUAGGGUACCAGCUCUUCCUCUGAAUUCCCAAUCCAUUUCUUGAGAACUACUGUUUCUAAUAAGCUCCUGUCUCGGCCUCCCAAGCUGCUGAUCUUUCAUUGAGUUUCAUUCAACUCUUCCAUUAAACUCAAUUCCAAUUAGCUCUGCCUUCUGUUUUCUUUAAAAGUAUAAGGAAGAUGACAACCUCUAUUUAAUACUAUAUUUUUAAUGGCUUUCAAAAAUCACGUAAGUGGUUAAAAGUCCAGAGGGACUCAAGAUCAGUGUUCACAGUCUAUUAACUUCUAACACAUUCUUCCAUUAUGCUUUGUGCUUUGAAAUAUUUGUCUUAAAACACAGUCUUAAAAACUGCAUUAAUUAUAAUAAUGUCAUUUUCUUCUUUUCAGAGUUUUUGUUCCAUGUGAGAUACCCACGCCACUUUAAAAAACAAACUAUCCUGACAUCUAAUUACUUUGUGAAUGAUUGUAAUGGCAAUAACAAUAGAGAUGGAAGAAUUUUGGAAACAAUACUAGUUUCACAGCUUUCAUGUGAGAUGCCAAGGUUUUAGCAUCGUCAGAUUGGCAAUGAGAUUGGAUAACUUCUGGGGUCUUUUUGAAAUUAUAGUGCUCUUUGAGGGUCAGAGGUCGAUUUGCUCAAAAUGGAUUUGCAAAGAGAAAAAAAAUUUAAUGUCACACUGCCAUGAUAAGUCAACCAACCAUCUCAUAUAUCAAAGGAGAGAGGCAGAGAAAGAAAAGGAGGAGGAUAAAGAAGAGGAGGAAGAGGACGAAAGGAAAACCAAGAGGAGGAGAAGCCACUUCUUACUUUGGAUUAAUGUGAAACUAAAUAGUUUACUACAUUUUAAGUGGGAAAAUGUUAGUUGAAAAGAUAUUUGUCAACCACAAACAUUUGAAAGGGAAGCAUUCCAAAGAUUUUCACUGUUUAUGUUCAAAUUACAACAUGUGCAGAAAGUUGUGCAACUGAAAAUCCUUUCAAACAACAGCUACAAAAGAGAUUGGUCAGUUAGGACAGGAAUAGAAAGUGGAAACUUAGAAGACUGGCUACUCCUUGUGUAUGAUUGCUGGGGUGAGUCUGUGCUGAGAACUUUUUACAAAGGGUGUCCUUUGCUGAUAUGAGAGGGGGGUGUCAAACUUUUGAGUGAUCACUGUGGGUCCUCAGCUUAGACAUCUUCUCUGGCCCAGGGAAAAGGGCUGAGGGGGUAGAGGUAUAAAAAUCAGAUAGCUCAGCACUUCGCUCCAAAGGAGCUGAAGGAGAGAGGAUUCCACUGCGUGUAUGUUUUCUCUUUCACGUCUCACUUUUGUUCUCUGCCAUCAGGAAAUGCAGUAGACAUUUGUCACCAGCAGCUCUUUGGAGACUUCAAUGUUCCUUCCUCCCAGGAUCCGAAAGGGGACUUCAGACACGGACUUGCCUAAGAUUUUCAUUUGAAUUUAGUACAUUAUGAGUUGUCAUAGUAUAAGAGGAUUGGAGGUUUGGAGGAUUGAUAGUGUUCUUAACUUCAGGGAGAAUCUAAGACACCAGGAGCUCAGAAGAAUGGAGUCUCAAGACAUCAGGCAAAUACCGAAGAGAUCAGAGCCAAGUUCUAAAGGGCAGCCAUUUCCCAAAUGUCAACCAAGAGCGAAGCCAAGAGAAUUAUGAUUUCCUGGCUAUACAAUGACAGGAAAAGCUUGAUCAAAGCUGGAGUGCAAGUUAAAAAGUGUAAGGUACUCAAGUGCUAGGGUCUGUGUCCAAGCCCAAUCAAUUGAUCAUUAGUUGUUUUUAACUUCAACGUUUCUUUUGCAACAGCACAUUUCGUAAUAGUUCUGGUACUGCACCCAUAGAUACUGUCACCUCUACUCUUUCUUCCAAUCACCAUUAGCAGAUGCCACAGGAUUCCUACUUCUGAAAGUUUUUGGGCCCUGCAGGUGGAAGACUGGAGAAGCCAAUAAAGUUUAAGGCUACAUUUUAUUCCAUCCACAAAUUUGGUGAAGGAGGAAAUGUUUACAAUUCUGCCAUGCCAUGAAUAGGAGUUUUCCACCGGGUGUACACUGCUGUUAACAAGGUGUAAAUACUUGUCCAGUAAAGAGACCGUACGGUACUGCUGAUGGACGUCCCAACACAAUGCCAGAUGCAAAAACUUCUUUGGUGAUUGCUUUUGAUAACACUGAGUGGCUAAAGGUCUUCUUUCACAUCUUUGCCCACCUCAAAUCCUGAAGGCAAGGUCUCUGGAAUUUGAGGCUGUGCCCUCACAUGCCUCCAAGGCACCAACAAAGCAAAAUGAAGAGUCUGCACUGCUUAUCAGUUGACCCAACACUCAGUCCACAUUGGAGGGGAAGGGGUGGUGGGCUGAGGAUGUCUUCUUCCUGUCCAGGAUGCAAUAUGGUCAAGUUUAUAUUAUCUGGAAGCUAGUAUGAAAGAAAUAUUAAAAUUUCUUUUUUAAAAAUAUUUUUAUUAUACUUUAAGUUCUGGGGUACACAUGCAGAAUAUGCAGGUUUGUUCCAUAGGUAUACACGUGCCAUGGUGGUUUGCUGCACCCAUCAACCCGUCAUCUAUGAGAAACAAGAAUUUCAACACAGACGAACUUUCAUCUGCAUGCCACAUAUCCAUCACUGGCCUCUCCACAUUCACCCUCCACCCUUUUCCACCUUUGUUCUCUGCUUAGGAUGUUGACCUCUCUUGACUGCAUGGGUCAGGGCCUUCUUUCCCUACGGCUUCAGAGGAUAGGAGGAAAAUUGGGUUAGUUUGACCUCAGGCUGGCUGCAACCCUCUGGAUUGUGAAUUGCCUUGAGGAAGCCCAACUCACUUCCUUGGUCUUAGACCUGCUAUGGAGGGCCCCAUCUUGUAACCAUCAGGAAAAACUCGAGAGAAUCCCAGAGACACGAGUGCUGGCAAUAUGGAGCUAAUGAACCAAUCAGAAAACUGCUACCUCCAGACUUUUGAAGACGUGAGAAAAAUUAACUCAAUAUUUGCUCUAGCCAUUUUUAGAUGCAUUUGUUACUUGCAGGCGAAAGCCCUUCUAACUGAUACACUACCUCCAGAGACAAGUAGUAUAGACUCAGAAUGUCAUUAACAGAUCUGGACGUGAAGGAGGCAUAGAAAUAUAGAAAUAAGAUAGUGUUUCAGUCUUUCGUUACUGAGUUUCCAUCAGUUCUGGCUAAGUCUCAGAGAAUUUCAGAAUGCUGCAUAAUUAGAACUAAUUGACAAAUUUUCCCAUUCACUGAGUAGAACUUGUAUUGAUCAUUGGGACCCAGUUUGUUCCAGGG
This 5893-nucleotide long non-coding RNA is filed under the name Homo sapiens (human). RNAcentral describes it as "non-protein coding LINC01614:4". Lineage: Eukaryota; Metazoa; Chordata; Mammalia; Primates; Hominidae. The record is from RNAcentral.